AAAGGGUGCGUAGGCUGCGCAGAAAGUUGGGUGUGAAAGCCCUCGGCUCAACCGAGGAAUUGCAUUCAAAACUACUGUGCUCGAGGGAGACAGAGGUGAGCGGAACUCAAGGUGGAGCGGUGAAAUGCGUUGAUAUCUUGAGGAACACCGGUGGCGAAGGCGGCUCACUGGGUCUCUACUGACGCUGAGGCACGAAAGCCAAGGUAGCAAACGGGAUUAGAUACCCUUGU
RNAcentral lists this ribosomal RNA (230 nucleotides) under uncultured bacterium. Its description in RNAcentral is "partial 16S ribosomal RNA". It matches the Rfam family "Bacterial small subunit ribosomal RNA", at positions 562 to 791 of the family's 1533-position model. The record is from RNAcentral.